Molecule: unclassified non-coding RNA, 236 nt
Filed under: uncultured fungus
Lineage: Eukaryota; Fungi
Description: partial contains 5.8S ribosomal RNA, internal transcribed spacer 2, and large subunit ribosomal RNA
Rfam family: 5.8S ribosomal RNA (bases 1-52)
Source: RNAcentral
AACGCACAUUGCGCCCCCUGGUACUCCGGGGGGCAUGCCUGUUCGAGCGUCAUUUCGACCCUCAAGCUCUGCUUGGUGUUGGGCCCUGCCCGCUCGCGGCCGGCCCUAAAGACGGUGGCGGCGCCGUCUGGCUCUAAGCGUAGUACAUCUCUCGCUCUAGCGUCCGGCGGUGGCCUGCCAGAACCCCCAACUCUGUGGUUGACCUCGGAUCAGGUAGGGAUACCCGCUGAACUUAA